GAUUAAGAGGCAACUCUUUGACUGGAGAACUGUCCCCUGAUGUGUCAAUUAACUAGUCUGUGGUACUUGAAGUCAUCUAGUUAAUGUACAGGGAAGACAUUGCUAGCCAGAGCAAUUGCAAGCAAGAGAGAUGCUAACUUUCUAAAGGUUGUAUCAAGCGCCAUUAUUGAUAAGUUCAUUGGUGAAAGUGCAAGAUUGAUAAGGGAAAUGUUUGGUUAUGCUUGUGAUCACCAGCCCUGUAUCAUUUUUAUGGACGAGAUUGAUGCUAUUGGUAGACGGCAUUUUAGCAAAUGGACCAGUGCGGAUUGUGAAAUCCAGCGAAUACUCAUGGAGUUGCCUAACCAGUUAGAUGGAUUUGAUCAACUUGGGAAGGUACUUGAGUCCUUAUUGAUCUUGUUCGUUAUUCACAUUAAAUGGAUGCAAAGUUAUUUAUCUGGUCAAUCCUUCAACUUUGGUUAUCUGUGGAUGUAUUUGCUAAGAUUGUAUAGCUAUGUUUGUUUUUGCAUUACAUUAUCUAUCAAUCCUUCAACUUUGCAAGCAAGAACCAUGCCUUAAUCUUAUCACAUGUCACUUGUCUCUUGUUUUCAGAAGAUCUUAACAGCUUUCAUGAGGUGACAACUAUCACAAGGUACUAUCUGAACAUCUUCUAUUUUAUUAAAUUUGGGUCAUUUUGUGGAUGAAAGAAAUGUGAUGCCAGAAGAUAUGGUCGUUUCCAUUGCAGACCAUGAAUCACAUGUUUAUUGUCAAUACUGAUUUUGGUUUUAGAAUGUUAUGGUGCACUGUGAAGUCCUUAAUUGACCCAAUACAACUGCCAAGAUUAAUGUCGGUAUAUCUUUUUGGGUUCUAAUUUUAGCCAUAUGAAUUUGCUUUUCACCUUGGCACUUUCGUAUAAAAACACAAGUACAUGGAAAUAAUUGCAGGCUUGAUAUUAGCUUUUAAUUUUUGGUUGCUGAUGAGUUUGUUGUUUGUGUAGUUUGCAAGUACUGAAUAAUUGAUAUUUUUUUGCUUUGCAUUUCAGGGGUCUUUACUGAUGGAGCUUAUUCAGCAGAUGCAAGUACAAGGUGUGCCAGUAUGGUUUCUUUGAUGCCUCUCUUGUUGGUCCUUUUCUUGCUACUGUUUGAGAAUCAUUAAAGAGAGGCAUCAAUGGCAUCUAGGAAGUGAUUGAAAGAAGAAAGGGGAAAUUGUCAAUAUUAGUUCUGAUGCAGCUCACCUUCCUUCUUUGCCUCUAUACACACUUUAUUCUACAAUCAAAGCGCUGGAACUGGGGUUGAUGGAAAAGCUGGAACAAGACUUUAUUGGCUUUUUUGGUUAGGUUCUUAUUUUGGCAAGGACAAAUCAUUGGAGUUCAUGCAACUCUGGAUAUGUUCAAGGUUGAUUGAACAUACCUAAUGAGAAAGUUACUAUUGUAGUAACGGCACUUUCUAAUUUCAUUGUGCAGUUGGUUCUCUUUAGAACGGAUCUUAGUCUGUAUACAUAUUGGAUUAGUGUAUUUUGGUGAAUAAUAUAUUCCUUUUAGCGC
Rosa rugosa (rugosa rose) is the source of this 1519-nucleotide long non-coding RNA. RefSeq lists it as uncharacterized. The transcript has 5 exons. The record is from RefSeq and is a predicted model, not a curated record. Lineage: Eukaryota; Viridiplantae; Streptophyta; Magnoliopsida; Rosales; Rosaceae.